CCCUUAGAUGUUCUGGGCCGCACGCGCGCUACACUGAUGCAUUCAACGAGUCUAAAACCUGCUCUGAUAGGGGUGGGUAAUCUUUUGAAUGUGCAUCGUGAUUGGGAUAGAUGAUUGCAAUUUUUCAUCUUCAACGAUGAAUGCCUAGUAAACGCAAGUCAUCAGCUUGCAUUGAUUACGUCCCUGCCCUUUGUACACACCGCCCGUCGCUCCUACCGAUUGAAUGAUCCGAUGAAUAUCAUGGAUUGAGGAUGCAAGUAGGUUCGCCUAUCUUCAUCUUCGAGAAGUGAAGUAAAUCUUAUCAUUUAGAGGAAGGAGAAGUCGUAACA
Molecule: ribosomal RNA, 329 nt
Filed under: uncultured eukaryote
Lineage: Eukaryota
Description: partial 18S ribosomal RNA
Rfam family: Eukaryotic small subunit ribosomal RNA
Source: RNAcentral